RNAcentral lists this ribosomal RNA (253 nucleotides) under uncultured bacterium. Its description in RNAcentral is "partial 16S ribosomal RNA". It matches the Rfam family "Bacterial small subunit ribosomal RNA", at positions 524 to 776 of the family's 1533-position model. The record is from RNAcentral.
UACAGAGGAGGCAAGCGUUGUUCGGAAUUACUGGGCGUAAAGGGCGCGUAGGCGGUCCUGUAAGUCCCGUGUGAAAUCACCCGGCUCAACUGGGGAAUGGCACGGGAGACUGCGGGGCUUGAGUUCGGGAGAGGGAAGCGGAAUUCCGGGUGUAGCGGUGAAAUGCGUAGAUAUCCGGAGGAACACCGGUGGCGAAGGCGGCGUCCUGGACCGACACUGACGCUAAGGCGCGAAAGCUAGGGGAGCAAACGGG